Molecule: long non-coding RNA, 1249 nt
Organism: Esox lucius (northern pike)
Lineage: Eukaryota; Metazoa; Chordata; Actinopteri; Esociformes; Esocidae
Exons: 3
Source: RefSeq, a predicted model, not a curated record
UGGGGCUGAUGGCCCACACCUGGUGUUCCAGAUCUAUAGAGAAGAAAAUGUUACCCAAGACACUGAUUAACAUCACCAAGGACUCCAGGUGCCAGCACAUCACUGGAGGACCAUACACUGACACAGGCCCACAUUCGAGAAACGACUUCCUCAUCCAUCACAACUUAGCAUGACAGAAGACCAUGGCACAAGAAGGGAAAGCAGCAGGGACCCGCCUGUGAAGUGUAACCUCUGACCCCUGUUUGCUUUUUCUAUACUGAUUCAUAAGCAGCUAUGCAUGUUGGUCUAAAAUGGUGAUCCAUCAAUGCCAUGAUCAGGACUGGGAAUAACACCCGUCACUGUGUAUUGAUGAGCCCACAAUGAGCCGCUUGUUUAUUGAGAUCAGUGUGUUCAGUUUGGUGGUGAUCCACAUUGUCGAUCCAGUGUCCAGUUAAAUGUGGGCAUUAGACAAAUAGGUUUAACAAAUUCUUGGCAUUGGUCUUACAUAGUCCUGUAGCAAUUGAAAUACCCUUGACAAAUGCCAACAAAUUAAGAGUCCACUAAGAUUGUUCCAGUUCCAAAAAAGGCAGAAUGAAAUGUUAAACACCACAUACAUGACUGUGUUCUAUAGACUCUAACAUUAUUCAGGGAGGUUGCAGGUCACAGGGGCAGAGACGUCUUUAAGAAAGGUUCUUUAAUCCGCAGACUUAGUAAACAUGAAACAGGGAUAUCACAUAAACACAAAUGUCAACAUAAAACAAUGAUGGACAGGAAGCACUAGGGCAGAAGGAACUUAAAAAGGGACAUAAUGAGGGGCAAACGAGAUACAGGUGAAGACUAAACUCGACACAGGUAAUUUCAAUCCAAGAACAUCGAAACAGCUAGAACAUAAAGAUACUGAUCAUAGAAAUACAACAGCUGACAUGGCACAGGCCAUGACCGGCUGGUACAGACUUCUUUUGACAUGGGAAUUUAUAUUGUUUCAUCGUUCGACUAGCAGGUAACAUGGGCAAUUGUACUGUAAGCACUGAUGCUUUGUACACAUUGAUCAAGCUAUACCUUUGGAAAGCUACCUCCCACUGCAGCUGUGAAAUAACAUUUCCCAAUUAUAAUUUCAUUUUGACAAAUUCAUUGUUUACUUAACUUUACAGUAAAUCUGGUCGUUAGUUCUAUGAACUACACCACUGUUUAUUCCAUUAAUGUUCAGUAAAUGGUUCAGUAUUUACUCUCAGUUAUUCUUCAGAGGAGAGAAAGUGGGUAAAGGAGAGGA